GACGAACGCUGGCGGCGUGCUUAACACAUGCAAGUCGAACGGAAAGGCCCUACUUGCAGGGUACUCGAGUGGCGAACGGGUGAGUAACACGUGGGUGAUCUGCCCUGCACUUCGGGAUAAGCCUGGGAAACUGGGUCUAAUACCGGAUAGGAGCCAUUUUUAGUGUGAUGGUUGGAAAGUUUUUUCGGUGUAGGAUGAGCUCGCGGCCUAUCAGCUUGUUGGUGGGGUAAUGGCCUACCAAGGCGGCGACGGGUAGCCGGCCUGAGAGGGUGGACGGCCACAGUGGGACUGAGAUACGGCCCAGACUCCUACGGGAGGCAGCAGUGGGGAAUAUUGCACAAUGGGCGCAAGCCUGAUGCAGCGACGCCGCGUGGGGGAUGACGGCCUUCGGGUUGUAAACUCCUUUCGCUAGGGACGAAGCUUUUUGUGACGGUACCUAGAUAAGAAGCACCGGCUAACUACGUG
Molecule: ribosomal RNA, 465 nt
Filed under: uncultured bacterium
Lineage: Bacteria
Description: partial 16S ribosomal RNA
Rfam family: Bacterial small subunit ribosomal RNA
Source: RNAcentral